AGAGAGAAAAAGUAAAAGACCGAAGAAGGAGGCUGGAGAGACCAGGAUCCUUCCAGCUGAAUAAAGUCAGCCACAAAGCAGACUAGCCAGCCGGCUACAAUUGGAGUCAGAGUCCCAAAGACAUGGCCUUGAAAGCCAUCCCCUGGGUAGAGGUCUUUGUCUUGAAAGAAAGCAACAGUAGAAAUGCCUUCCCUGCCCAUAGCACUUCAGGUCUAAAGAAGACCAAGUGAGGACAGUGACAUGAUCAGGAAGGGUCACAGCAGCCAUGGCUUGUUAGAGUGCUGUGCAAGAUGUCUGGUAGGGGCCCCCUUUGCUUCCCUGGUGGCCACUGGAUUGUGUUUCUUUGGGGUGGCACUGUUCUGUGGCUGUGGACAUGAAGCCCUCACUGGCACAGAAAAGCUAAUUGAGACCUAUUUCUCCAAAAACUACCAGGACUAUGAGUAUCUCAUCAAUGUGAUCCAUGCCUUCCAGUAUGUCAUCUAUGGAACUGCCUCUUUCUUCUUCCUUUAUGGGGCCCUCCUGCUGGCUGAGGGCUUCUACACCACCGGCGCAGUCAGGCAGAUCUUUGGCGACU
RNAcentral lists this small RNA (574 nucleotides) under Pan troglodytes (chimpanzee). Its description in RNAcentral is "processed transcript". Lineage: Eukaryota; Metazoa; Chordata; Mammalia; Primates; Hominidae. The record is from RNAcentral.